UAUUUUUACGUUCGAUUUUCCGUUUUGUCUCUUCAGAUGUUUAUGAGGUACAGGGUGGCGCAAAAGUAAUCCUCCUAUCAAAAUAUGCUUUAAAUUUUUCAAUUGGCAUCUCAUGCCCCUAACCUCCCGUUUUGGCGAUUAGCACUGGCCAGCAAGUUCGCCUGAAUUGACCGCUCCAGACUUCUUUUGUGUGGUUUUUUGAAGUCGCGGGUUUAUGUCAACAAGCCUGAAACUCUUGCAGCUUAUAAAGACAAUACCCGUCAAGAAUGUGAAGACCUAUCGGCGGAAGCUCUGGCCAAAGAGAUGGAAAAUGCUAACAAAAGGGCUCAAAUGACAAUCAACUGUGGCGGUGACAUCAUAUUACAUGACAUCAUAUGCUCGACUUGAUGUAAAAAUAAUUUAAAAGACAAAAAGCUAACAUUUUUGAUUCGUAACUUUAUUUCUCAUAAUCAACAUGGAUUCCUGCCUGGGCGAUCCACCACAACCAACUUAGUGGUUUUCUCUAAGCACUGCCUGGAGGCCAUUAGCUGCAUUAGGGAUAGCUAUCUACUGCAGGAUUAUUUGCGCCGAGUCUCUUCUUGUAAGAGGGCGCUAGACUUAUGUACUUCCUAUGCAAUUGGCAACCAUGACCUGGAGCACAAAGAGGAGGUGGUUGAUCUUGGCGUCCUUUUUGACUCAAAUUUAAAACUUUCCAGCGAUUUAGAUUUUAUAAUGCCUAAGGCGUAUGCCAUGUUGGGUUUUGUGAAGCUGCACACAGACCAAUUCAAGAGCCCGUACGUGAAACUUAGUGUUUACGCCGCAUCAUACGCCGCAUACGCCGCUGGAAUAUGCCUCUAUCAUUUGGAGCUCCGCAAAUAAAAUAAGUUCCAAUAGAGUUGAGCGGUUGCAGAAAAAAUUUUUAAAAUUUGCACUUCUCCCUUUAAGGUUUGGGGAUCGGUGCCUUCUCCUCCACAUAUGUACACUUGAGCGCACUGUGGCAGCUUUAACUUUUAUCAAUAACAUAGUAAUUAGCAGCAUUGAUUGCCCCAUGUUAUUGGAGCUUAUAAACUUCAAUGUGCCCCAGAGGGAUCUUCGCUCGUUUGCUCCUUUUCGGAUUGCUUGUCGUAGGGCCAAUUACCUUUUGAACGAGCCUACUGAUAGAGCAUUAUCAUUUUUUAAUACUUUGCCGCCUAGCCUCCGAACUAAGUGGGGCUUUGACAAACAAGCGUUUAGGGUCUUAUUGGUUAGGCAUUUCUUAAGUAGUAUGUAAGUUAGAUUAUAUAGUAGCCAUGUAAGAUUAAAAUAAUCAAUGGCGAAAGAGA
Molecule: long non-coding RNA, 1301 nt
Organism: Drosophila ananassae
Lineage: Eukaryota; Metazoa; Arthropoda; Insecta; Diptera; Drosophilidae
Exons: 3
Source: RefSeq, a predicted model, not a curated record